UUUCCGUAGGUGAACCUGCGGAAGGAUCAUUAUUGUAUAACCGAGGUGCGAGGGCUGUCGCUGACCCGAAAGGUCGUGCACGCCCGAGUGCCCUCACACACAUCCAUCUCACCCCUAUGUGCACCACCGCGCGGGUCCCCCUUUGGCUUGUUCGGAGGGGGGCUUACGUUUUCACACAAACUCUGUAUGCAGUGUAGAAUGUAUUUUUUGUUUUUGCGAUCACGCAAUCAAUACAACUUUCAACAACGGAUCUCUUGGCUCUC
RNAcentral lists this unclassified non-coding RNA (263 nucleotides) under plant metagenome. RNAcentral describes it as "partial contains small subunit ribosomal RNA, internal transcribed spacer 1, and 5.8S ribosomal RNA". The record is from RNAcentral.